ACAUGAACAUCGACAUUUUGAACGCAUAUUGCGGUCCAUACUGACUAGUUUCUUUACUGAAGCUGUAUGGACCACACAUGGUUGAGGGUCGUUAGUUUACGCUAACUGAAUUGCUUUUUAAUUAAAGCUACAUCAUGAGGUGUUGUCAACCUUAAGUGCGUUGACAUCCCUUGAAAAUACCUUUGGUACACAAUUUAUUUAUUGUGAAUGCUUGUUUUUAUCAAAGAAAACAAUUAUUGAGCAAAAUAAUUCGAUUCGAACAUUUUGAAGCUAGUAAACUUUGAUUAAGCGUUUAAACAUAAUAGUUUACGUAUUUGAAUGCAUAUUAACUGAACGCUUCAUUAUUAGUAGUAUAUAUACGCUCUUAUAUAAUUAUUCGUUAAUUUUCUUUUUGAUAAUCAUAUCCAACCCAAAGUGGAUGGGCAUUCGUUUUAUAACAAUAAAUAUUUUUGACAAACAAAUCAUAAAAGCGACCUCAACUCAUGUGAGACUACC
This 495-nucleotide ribosomal RNA is filed under the name Boletina nasuta. RNAcentral describes it as "eukaryotic LSU rRNA". The record is from RNAcentral. Lineage: Eukaryota; Metazoa; Arthropoda; Insecta; Diptera; Mycetophilidae.